RNAcentral lists this ribosomal RNA (407 nucleotides) under uncultured bacterium. RNAcentral describes it as "partial 16S ribosomal RNA". It matches the Rfam family "Bacterial small subunit ribosomal RNA", at positions 28 to 526 of the family's 1533-position model. The record is from RNAcentral.
GACGAACGCUGGCGGCGUGCCUAAUACAUGCAAGUAGAACGCAGUUGCGAACGGGUGAGUAACGCGUAGGUAACUGCCUCAUAGCGGGGGAUAACGAUUGGAAACGAUAGCUAAUACCGCAUACUUUGAGAUGGACCUGCGGUUGAUUAGCCAGUUGGUGAGGUAAAUGCUCACCAAGGAGACGGUACAUAGCCGAACUGAGAGGGUGAACUGCCAAACUUGGACUGAGGCACGGCCCAGACUCCUACGGGAGGGCGCAGUAGGGAAUCUUUGGCAAUGGACGGAAGUCUGACCGAGCAAAGCCGCGUGAGUGAAGAAGGUUUUCGGAUCGUAAAGCUCUGUUGUUAGAGAAGCGGUAUCUAACCAGAAAGGGACGGCUAACUACGUGCCAGCCGCCGCGGUAAUAC